Molecule: long non-coding RNA, 1080 nt
Filed under: Vigna radiata
Lineage: Eukaryota; Viridiplantae; Streptophyta; Magnoliopsida; Fabales; Fabaceae
Description: long non-coding RNA (VRAD_LNC005192)
Source: RNAcentral
GACGAUUGGGUUCUGUGUCGUAUAUACAAGAAGAACUCGAGUGCACAGAAGGCGGCGCAGAACGGCGUCGUUUCGAGCAGGGAAUACACUCAAUACAGCAACGGUUCGUCGUCGUCGUCUUCGUCCCAUCUGGACGACGUUCUGGAAUCGCUGCCGACGAUCGACGAACGAUGUUUUGCGAUGCCACGUGUCAGUACGAUGCAGGCACAGCAGGAGGAGAAGGUGAGCAUUCAUCAGAACCUGGGUGCGGGUGGGUUGGUGGAUUGGGCCAAUCCUGCGGUUCUGAAUUCGGUGGGUGAAUUCGUUUCGGGGAAUAAUCAAGUGGUGCAGGAGCAGACACAGGGGAUGGUGAACUACGGCGGGUGCAAUGACCUUUAUGUCCCCACGUUCUGCCACGUGGAGUCUACACUUCCGCAAAAGAUGGAGGAAGAGGUGCAAAGCGGUGUGAGAAGCCAAAACAACAAUAACCCGUGGUUUGUUCAGAACGAAUUUACGCAGGGGUAUCAGAACCCGGUGGACACGUGUGGGUUUAAGUUCCCGGUUCAGGCGGUGGGAUUCGGGUUCAGGCAAUGAAGCUGAGCGGGUUAUGAAAAAAGAAAUAAUGUUUAUUUUGUGUAAAUAGGUGGGGAUUGUUUGGGCUAACUCGUUGGGUUUUAGGUUCCUUUUUAGAAAAGGUGAAAAUUUUGGUCUUCAUUUUCGGCUAAAGAAUGAAUCGAUCCAGGAGAUAAAGCAAUGAUGGAAUGGAACCAUUUAAUUUAUUAGAACGUAGUUUUCGGCCACAGAAAGCUUACUCACCCACAUGAAUCACAUUUUGUACUUAAAAAUCAACUUCAAAUUGUUCCAGUGUUAGGUUUCGUUAAUUUCGAUCUUCCUAUGUCCACAUGUUUCUUUAUUACUGUAUGUAUACGCAGUUUAUGCACGUGUAAAAUGAGUCACCGUUCGGAAGGUAGGCGCAUUGCCAUUACCAGAAACAAAGAGAUAAGGUUCGUAUAUAUUGAAUUUUUCUCUGCGUGAAAAAUGAAAUUCCAAACUCAAGUGCCCCUUUUCUAUUUUUUUUUUCUCUUCUUAUCUGUAUUUUUG